RNAcentral lists this long non-coding RNA (1369 nucleotides) under Pan troglodytes (chimpanzee). RNAcentral's name for it is "long non-coding RNA NONPTRT016215". Lineage: Eukaryota; Metazoa; Chordata; Mammalia; Primates; Hominidae. The record is from RNAcentral.
CUAAGCAAGCAAGUAAACAAGAGCUCCAAGGAUGAACUGUGGCCAUUUGUCUUGUCACCUCCUUCAGUUUAGGGAAAGCCUGAGGCAUCACUGACCACUCAAUCCCAGGCCCACACACAUCACCCCUGCAAGUACUACGAGCUCUAAUGACGUGAUGAAGCAGCUAGGAUCCUAAAAUGAGACUUCUGCAUUUAUCACAAGAAUGGAAGGCCAUCUUGCUGACUGAAAUGACAUUACGCAGUGCUACCAAGACUGAAAUGCACUCAGUAUCUGAAAGUGACCAUUUGAGAAUUGGCUGCUGCCUGUCCUCACUGCCUACUGCGUUAAUGUCCUUUUACACUCAGUCCUCAACUUCUUUCUUUUUUGAGAUGGAGUCUCACUCUUGCCCAGGCUGGAGUGCCAAUCUUGGCUCACUGCAGCCUCUGCAUCCUGGGUUCAAGCAAUUCUCCUGCCUCAGCCUCCCAAGCAGCCGGGACUACAGGCGCCCACCUCCAUGCCCAGCUAAUUUCUGUACUUUUACGAGAGACAGGGUUUCACCCUGCUGGCCAGGCUGGUCUCAAACUCCUGACCUCAGGUGAUCUGCCUGCCUUGGCCUCCCAAAGUGCUGGGAUUACAGGUGUGAGCCACCACACCCGGCCUCAACCCUCAACUUCUGAGGCACACUGGAGCUUGUAUAGGAGGCCACGGGCAGGACCACCAUGCCUGAAUCACUGUGUGUUUCCUGGUCCCACCCUAACUGCACUCCAACUACCCUGCUGCAAGCCUCCCCUCUUGCUUGGUUACUGCUUCUGUUCUGCAUCUUGGUCCAGGGCCCCUCUAGUUACUUCUGGCUCCUGACCUUGGGCUCCACAUCUUCAGCCUGCCCAGUAUCAACUCCUCACUUCAGCUAUGAAACUUCCAAUACAGAUCUAGCAAGUACCAGCCCCUUGUCUGGAACCUGGGACUCCGAGUCCCUUCUCCCCUUAAAACACCUCAUCAGCUCAGCCUUGGCCAUGUUCCUGCACUUGGGUGGUCUCUUCCUCAGUGUCCACCGCAACUGGAGUACACAGUGCUGGGGCUCACCCCAGUGAGCCUGGAAGACUGGGUGCUGUGGGAAAUGUCAUCAAUCCAAUGCUAGUGAAAGAUGUGACUGGGGAAUGGUGAAAAAUGCACACCCCUGGGAGGAAUGAGGAAAGAGGACAUCUACUGACUUGUUAUUUUUUUGAGAAGGAGUCUUGCUCUGUUGCCCAGGCUGGAGUGUGGUGGCAUGAUCUCAGCUCACUGCAACCUCUGCCACCUGGAUUCAAGCCAUUCUCGUGCCUUAGCCUCCCAAGUAGCUGGGAUCACAGGCGUGCGCCACCAUGCCUGGCUAAUUUUUGUAUUUUUAGUA